UGGGUUUAAAGGGUGCGUAGGCGGAAUGAUAAGUCAGUGGUGAAAUCCUGCAGCUUAACUGCAGAACUGCCUCUGAUACUGUCAAUCUUGAGUACAUUUGAUGUGGGCGGAAUGUGUCAUGUAGCGGUGAAAUGCAUAGAUAUGACACAGAACACCGAUUGCGAAGGCAGCUCACAAAACUGUAACUGACGCUGAGGCACGAA
RNAcentral lists this ribosomal RNA (203 nucleotides) under Anophryoides haemophila. RNAcentral describes it as "partial Bacterial small subunit ribosomal RNA". It matches the Rfam family "Bacterial small subunit ribosomal RNA", at positions 555 to 757 of the family's 1533-position model. Lineage: Eukaryota; Ciliophora; Oligohymenophorea; Philasterida; Glauconematidae. The record is from RNAcentral.